This 271-nucleotide long non-coding RNA is filed under the name Mytilus galloprovincialis (Mediterranean mussel). Lineage: Eukaryota; Metazoa; Mollusca; Bivalvia; Mytilida; Mytilidae. The record is from RNAcentral.
CUGUGUAACUGGUUUUGGUUUAUUUUUCAAAAUUCCGCCAAAGGACAGUGUCUGGCCUGAAUAAGAACUGCUUGUUGUGAAGACGUGCCUAUACUCUAAGAUCGAUUAUGAAUAAUAAGAAUUCAUGAACCUUAAGAAAUCUGACAUACCAAUAAUUGGCAUUUCUGACGCGAAAUUUACAAUUGGCAUUUAUCCGUUUCAGAUCCGUUCAUCAUCCGUUUUAUCUGUUAUACGUCCGGUAGAAGUCCGUUUCUCAUCCGUUUUAUCCGUU